GAGCGAACGCUGGCGGCAGGCUUAACACAUGCAAGUCGAACGGGCAUCUUCGGAUGUCAGUGGCAGACGGGUGAGUAACACGUGGGAACGUACCCUUCGGUUCGGAAUAACUCAGGGAAACUUGAGCUAAUACCGGAUACGCCCUUUUGGGGAAAGGUUUACUGCCGAAGGAUCGGCCCGCGUCUGAUUAGCUUGUUGGUGGGGUAACGGCCUACCAAGGCGACGAUCAGUAGCUGGUCUGAGAGGAUGAUCAGCCACACUGGGACUGAGACACGGCCCAGACUCCUACGGGAGGCAGCAGUGGGGAAUAUUGGACAAUGGGCGCAAGCCUGAUCCAGCCAUGCCGCGUGAGUGAUGAAGGCCUUAGGGUUGUAAAGCUCUUUUGUCCGGGACGAUAAUGACGGUACCGGAAGAAUAAGCCCCGGCUAACUUCGUG
Molecule: ribosomal RNA, 436 nt
Filed under: uncultured bacterium
Lineage: Bacteria
Description: partial 16S ribosomal RNA
Rfam family: Bacterial small subunit ribosomal RNA
Source: RNAcentral